AACGAACGCUGGCGGCGUGCCUAACACAUGCAAGUCGAACGAAACCUUCGGGUCUAGUUGCGCACGUGUGCGUAACGCGGGGUAACCUACCCUUAGGUUCGGAAUAACUCCCCGAGAGGUGUCCUAAUGCCGGAUAAUGUCUUCGUACCAAGGAGUUAUCGCCUUUGGGUGGGCCCUCGUUGGUUUAGCUGGUUGGUAGGGUAAAAGCAGACCAAGGCGACGAUCCAGAGCUGGUCUGAGAGGAUGCUAAGCCACAAUUGGAAUGAGACACGGCCCAGCCUCCGACGCGACGCAGCAGUAGGUAACACUGGACACGGGGCGCAAGUGCGACAAAGCCAUGCCGGGUGAGUGAUGCAGGCCGUAGGGUUCUAAAGCCGCUUUACACGGGAUGAUAAUGACAGUAACGGGAGAAUAAGCUCCGGCUAACUACGUG
Molecule: ribosomal RNA, 433 nt
Filed under: uncultured bacterium
Lineage: Bacteria
Description: partial 16S ribosomal RNA
Rfam family: Bacterial small subunit ribosomal RNA
Source: RNAcentral